GUGUCAGCCGCCGCGGUAAUACGGAGGGUGCAAGCGUUAUCCGGAUUUACUGGGUUUAAAGGGUGCGCAGGCGGAUAUGUAAGUCAGUGGUGAAAUCUCCGGGCUUAACCCGGAAACUGCCGUUGAUACUAUAUAUCUUGAAUGCCGUGGAGGUAAGCGGAAUAUGUCAUGUAGCGGUGAAAUGCUUAGAUAUGACAUAGAACACCUAUUGCGAAGGCAGCUUACUACACGGAGAUUGACGCUCAUGCACGAAAGCGUGGGGAUCAAACAGGAUUAGAUACCCUGGUAGUCC
RNAcentral lists this ribosomal RNA (292 nucleotides) under uncultured bacterium. RNAcentral describes it as "partial 16S ribosomal RNA". It matches the Rfam family "Bacterial small subunit ribosomal RNA", at positions 505 to 796 of the family's 1533-position model. The record is from RNAcentral.